RNAcentral lists this ribosomal RNA (207 nucleotides) under uncultured bacterium. Its description in RNAcentral is "partial 16S ribosomal RNA". It matches the Rfam family "Bacterial small subunit ribosomal RNA", at positions 568 to 774 of the family's 1533-position model. The record is from RNAcentral.
UGCGCAGGCGGCUCAUCGCGCUCGGCGUGAAAGCCCCCGGCUCAACCGGGGAGGGUCGUCGAGGACGGGUGAGCUUGAGGGUAUCAGGGGUUGGUGGAAUUCCCGGUGUAGUGGUGAAAUGCGUAGAGAUCGGGAGGAACACCCGUGGCGAAGGCGGCCAACUGGGAUACACCUGACGCUGAGGCACGAAGGCGUGGGGAGCGAACG